GAUGAACGCUGGCGGCGUGCUUAACACAUGCAAGUCGAACGGUGAAGGCGGAGCUUGCUCUGCUGGAUCAGUGGCGAACGGGUGAGUAACACGUGAGCAAUCUGCCCCUGACUAUGGGAUAAGCGCUGGAAACGGCGUCUAAUACUGGAUACGAGCUGCGAAGGCAUCUUCAGCAGCUGGAAAGAACUUCGGUCAGGGAUGAGCUCGCGGCCUAUCAGCUUGUUGGUGAGGUAACGGCUCACCAAGGCGUCGACGGGUAGCCGGCCUGAGAGGGUGACCGGCCACACUGGGACUGAGACACGGCCCAGACUCCUACGGGAGGCAGCAGUGGGGAAUAGUGCACAAUGGGCGAAAGCCUGAUGCAGCAACGCCGCGUGAGGGACGACGGCCUUCGGGUUGUAAACCUCUUUUAGCAGGGAAGAAGCGAAAGUGACGGUACCUGCAGAAAAAGCGCCGGCUAACUACGUG
This 468-nucleotide ribosomal RNA is filed under the name uncultured bacterium. RNAcentral's name for it is "partial 16S ribosomal RNA". It matches the Rfam family "Bacterial small subunit ribosomal RNA", at positions 28 to 507 of the family's 1533-position model. The record is from RNAcentral.